UACGUAGGUGGCGAGCGUUGUCCGGAUUUACUGGGCGUAAAGGGAGCGUAGGCGGACUUUUAAGUGAGAUGUGAAAUACCCGGGCUCAACUUGGGUGCUGCAUUUCAAACUGGAAGUCUAGAGUGCAGGAGAGGAGAAUGGAAUUCCUAGUGUAGCGGUGAAAUGCGUAGAGAUUAGGAAGAACACCAGUGGCGAAGGCGAUUCUCUUGACUGUAACUGACGCUGAGGCUCGAAAGCGUGGGGAGCAAACAGGAUUAGAUACCCCGGUAGU
Molecule: ribosomal RNA, 271 nt
Filed under: uncultured prokaryote
Description: partial 16S ribosomal RNA
Rfam family: Bacterial small subunit ribosomal RNA
Source: RNAcentral